Molecule: unclassified non-coding RNA, 533 nt
Filed under: Hevea brasiliensis (rubber tree)
Lineage: Eukaryota; Viridiplantae; Streptophyta; Magnoliopsida; Malpighiales; Euphorbiaceae
Source: RNAcentral
UACCACCCUGCUCUCACGAGCAAAAUACGGUAAUAUGGCUACCGGAGCUGCCGGCGAUGCAAUUUUCCGGGGAGUAUUCGAAGGAUCUAUCUCCGGUCACGAUCUAGAAAUUUCAAAAAGGCCAUACCACCGGAAUUGUGGCUGUGCGUUACAUAAAUCGAGAGGGAACUGUUCUCAUUCGUCGAGAAAUAUGAAUAUUUCGUAUCCGAUUCGCCGGUCGUGGAGUGAAGGAUGUUUAUCGUUGGUUGCGGCGGCGUCAGCAGCGGCGUCCGGUCAUUCAUCGCCGUGUUCUUCACCUACUGUGACGGUUGCCGAUAUGAGUAAGAGGAAUUUGCUUCCGGUUAAUGAAGACGGUGAAGAUCUCGUUUUCCGUAAGGUUUAAUAAUUUUAAUCUUUUUUUCUAAUUAAGGUAAUAAUAAUUGCUGUUUUUUUAUACUCUAUUAAACAAAAAAAUUAUUAGCUGUUGUUUGAUUUUUAUGAGAUUUGUUUGUUUAAUGUGUAUUUGACAGCGAAGAAAAAUUCUUAAAUUUUGG